This 58-nucleotide transfer RNA is filed under the name Symplanella brevicephala. RNAcentral's name for it is "tRNA-Val". Lineage: Eukaryota; Metazoa; Arthropoda; Insecta; Hemiptera; Caliscelidae. The record is from RNAcentral.
CAGAAAAUUUUAUUUUAUUUACAAUAAAAUUAUUAAUCAUUAAUAUGAUUUUUUCUGA